UACGUAGGGGGCUAGCGUUGUCCGGAAUCAUUGGGCGUAAAGAGCUCGUAGGCGGUUCGUCGCGUCGGCUGUGAAAUCCCGAGGCUCAACCUCGGGUCUGCAGUCGAUACGGGCGGACUGGAGUUCGGCAGGGAGACUGGAAUUCCUGGUGUAGCGGUGAAAUGCGCAGAUAUCAGGAAGAACACCGGUGGCGAAGGCGGCUCUCUGGCCUUACCUGACGCUGAGGAGCGAAAGCGUGGGUAGCGAACAGG
RNAcentral lists this ribosomal RNA (251 nucleotides) under uncultured bacterium. Its description in RNAcentral is "partial 16S ribosomal RNA". It matches the Rfam family "Bacterial small subunit ribosomal RNA", at positions 524 to 776 of the family's 1533-position model. The record is from RNAcentral.